GACGUAGGAUCCGAGCGUUGUCCGGAGUUACUGGGCGUAAAGCGCGCGCAGGCGGACCGAUACAUCGGCGGUGAAAGCCCCCCGCUCAACGGGGGAGGGUCCGUCGAGAUGGUCGGUCUGGAGGCAGGGAGAGGCCAGUGGAAUUCCGGGUGUAGUGGUGAAAUGCGUAGAGAUCCGGAGGAACACCAGCGGCGAAGGCGGCAUCCUGGACUGGUCCUGACACUCAUGAGCGAAAGCGUGGGGAGCGAUCCGG
This 253-nucleotide ribosomal RNA is filed under the name uncultured bacterium. Its description in RNAcentral is "partial 16S ribosomal RNA". It matches the Rfam family "Bacterial small subunit ribosomal RNA", at positions 524 to 776 of the family's 1533-position model. The record is from RNAcentral.